GAUGAACGCUGGCGGCGUGCCUAAUACAUGCAAGUCGAGCGGACGGGCGAGAAGCUUGCGGCGCUGAUGUUAGGGGAGGGCGUGAGAGUCACGCGUGGAUAACGCACCUGUAAUACUGGUAUAAUUUCGGGAAAGGGGAGCAUAUAGCGGAUAAUAUUUUGCACCGCAUGGUGCGAAGGUGAAUGACGGUGUUGGUGGAACGUCUCGAUGGAUCUGAGCUGCAUUAGCUGGUUGGUAAGGUCAAGGCCUACGAAGGCAACGAUGCAUGACCGACCGGAGAGGGUGAUAGGCCACCCUGGAACGGAGACACGCUCCUUACUCCUACGGGAGGCAGCAGUAGGCAAUCGGCCGCAAUGGGCGAAAGCCUGACGGAGCAACGCCGCGUGAGUGAUGAAGGUCCUCGGAUCGUAAAACCCGCUUAUGAGGGGUGAACAUAUGUGUAAGGAACUGUGGACAGCUUGACGGUAACUAGUCAGAAAGCCCCGGCUAACUACGUG
RNAcentral lists this ribosomal RNA (497 nucleotides) under uncultured bacterium. Its description in RNAcentral is "partial 16S ribosomal RNA". It matches the Rfam family "Bacterial small subunit ribosomal RNA", at positions 28 to 507 of the family's 1533-position model. The record is from RNAcentral.